This 2515-nucleotide long non-coding RNA is filed under the name Sus scrofa (pig). Its description in RNAcentral is "lncRNA (ENSSSCG00040052221.1)". The record is from RNAcentral. Lineage: Eukaryota; Metazoa; Chordata; Mammalia; Artiodactyla; Suidae.
CAUAUGGAGGUUCCCAGGCUAGGGGUCAAAUCAGAGCUGUAGUUGCCAGCCUAUGCUACAGCCACACCACAGCAACACCAGAUCUGAGCCUCAUCUGUAACCUACACCACAGCUCAUGUAACCUACACCACAGCUGAUGGCAAUGCUGUAUCCCUAACCCACUGAACAAGGCCAGGGAUUGAACCCAAGACCUCAUGGGUAUUAGUGGGGUUCAUUACUGAUUAGACACGAUGGGAACUCCCCUCUGUGUUCCUUUUUAAGAGACAAGGGCCUUUGUCCACCACGGAGCCAAAGGCCACACCUCUAGAUUGCACCUGCUGUUUCUGCCCUGGCCCUUCACUCUUUCAUGCUCUCCCAGCCACCCUGUCCCCCUCAACCAGGCAUUAGUCUGCUUUCUUUUUUUCUGAGAAUUAGUCUCUUUCUGAGCAGAUCUUCUCUGGGCAGCAAAUCUCCAAUAGUGGUCAACGGGUCAAUGUCAGAAAUAAACAAAUGGGCCCAUGUCACAUCCUAGAAUUCUAAGACUGUGAUAACAUUGAUGGAGAUGCAAAGGAUCAUGGGAGCCAUACCCAUUGGGGAUUGGAGGUUUUUUUCCUUUUCUGUAGCUUGCAAGGAGAAAGAACUAGAAUGUUCUAAUUUUACAGAAAUAGAUUUAACUUCUGAUGUCAGACAACUGUAGCAUAGAAUAGGAAUCUCACAAUCAAGCACAUGGUCAGGUAGAUCUUUCUGUGAGAGUAGAAAUGUCCCAUGUCUGCGCUCAGAGGGUUUUGAACACUUGAAAUAUGGCUACUGCAAAUGGGAAAUCAUAUUUUAAGUUUAUUGGAUUUUGCUACCUUUACAGCUACAUGUGCCAAGUGGCCUCUGUAUUGAAGUGUUUAAGGGGUACCCAACAGACAAGUAAAUGCCAGGCACCAUAAGUUUGGCAAAGGCUUCUAAACGUUAAUAUAUUCUGCUUGAGCUCUAAUAUGUAAAUUCGAACAGGCAAAAACAGGGGACUUAGGAAGUUCCAUUCUUUCUGAGGGCAAACCACAGACCCUGCUAGCUCUCGCACCAUUUAAGGAUGAGUAGCAAUAAAAAGAAAAUAAACAUUGGACCCAAGAAUAUAUUUUGACACAUGAAAGGGCAAAUAUAUGCUUCAUCUUCUAGUGCGGGAAACAAAAAUCUCUUUUGAAAUCUAUUGCUUAAUGUUGCUUAAAUUCUCCAUAAUGCUCAAGAAUAGAAAUGCUCUAUAAGAGGAAAAUUGGAAGAUUAGCUGUUGAGACAACAAAUGGAGGUGGAAAAAUAGGUGGCUGAAUAUCAGGAAGAGAUAAAAAUGUUGUUAGAUGAAAUAAGGACCGAUUAUACACAAUUGAAAUGCAAUCACAGAACUGCAAUCUGCAUUAGAAGCCCCAAAAGACAGAAUCAAUAAUGUAAAAAUCAAAGGCUCAAUCUGAAAGAUGCAUCUUCAAAGCUCCACUUGACUAUAGAUUUAAAAAAUGCAAAGAGACGCAAACCACUAAAGUUAAGAGGCACAAACGGAACAGAAGCAAUAAGCAAAUACAUAAUCAGAGAAAAUAGUCAUAAAUACAAAGACAGACACAAGGCACAGAUUGAAAGAGGUCAUUAAAAGUAAAAUAAGUAAAAAGAAGCCAAGAGAUAGAUAUGUCUUUCAUGAGGUUGUUUUUUAAGAGUUCAUCAAAAAUUCCAAGAGUUUUCAGGCAAACCUAUCUCUUUUCCCAUGCCCCCGAAAAAGAGAAAGACACAGGAGAGAAUAAUAGAUUUAGUAUUUCACCAGCUAUCUUAAUAUCAUUCUUGAGAGCCAACUGUAUGCAUACACAAUAGCCACAGAGCUUUCAUUCACCUUCCCUCUUUUACUGGAUUUUUAGGGAGUUCCCUGGUGGCUCAGAGGGAUAAAGAUCAGUGUUGUCACUACUGUGGCCCUGGCUACAGCUAUAGCAUGGGUUCAAUUACUGGCCCUGGAACUUCCACAUGCCACAGGCACAGCCAAAAAUAAAAAUAGAAUCAGUCUUAAAAUGAUAAAAUUAUUUUUUGGAGGGGCCAUGCCCAUGGCAUGCAGAAAUUUCCUGGGCCAGGGACCAAACCCCCACCAUAGCAAUGACAAUGGCAAAUCCUUAACCAGAUGAACCACCAGGGAACUCUGAUAAAAAUAUUUUUUAAAGUAAUAAUUUCAUAAAGUAAUUAAAUACUGAUCUAUUUGAGAGGACAUUGAUUUUUUUCUCAAUAUUCAAGAUUCCACCAAUAAUAUCAGGGUUUUUUUCCUUAUUAAAAUAUGAAUGGUAUAGCCUCUCCAGUAGUUCUUUCACAGAUUUAUUCAAGAUAAUUACAUUUUGAACCCUUCAUAAAACUGCAUUUUUAACAAUAUUCAGAAAUUGGUCCAAAAUAGGCUAUAAUUUUUCACAGUUAUGUCUUUUAUGACUCUUAAAACUGUUAAACUUUAAUGGAUCAUGAUAAAACUAGAUCUGGAGAUUCUUAAGGUCAAACUCCUCAUUAAUUUUUUUUUCUUUUUUGCUUUUUAGGG